UACAGAGGUCUCAAGCGUUGUUCGGAUUCAUUGGCGUAAAGAGCUCGUAGGCGGCUUGUUGCGUCGACUGUGAAACCCGCGGCUCAACCGCGUGGCUUGCAGUCGAUACGGGCAGGCUAGAAUUCGGUAGGGGAGGACGUGGAAUUCCGUGGUGUAGCGGUGAAAUGCGCAGGAUAAUCAGGAGGGAACACCGGUGGCGAAGGCGGGUCGUCCUCGGGCCGGAUGAUUGACGCUGAGAAGCGAAAGCAUGGGGAGCGAACAGG
This 263-nucleotide ribosomal RNA is filed under the name uncultured bacterium. RNAcentral describes it as "partial 16S ribosomal RNA". It matches the Rfam family "Bacterial small subunit ribosomal RNA", at positions 524 to 776 of the family's 1533-position model. The record is from RNAcentral.